GUCUUCCUGCAGAGAUGAGGAAGUGCUGCUGGGAGGGCGGCUCAGGCUGGGAGCCCAGCUGAACAGUCAGCUGUGGUUGCCUAUAUUGAGAAAGAUGUGGGUGGCCACAGACUUGAGGACAGUUCUCGUGUAGGGUAUUUUGGCAAAACUAACGCUGUGGAUCCACUUCCAACAUGCACAGUAGUACACAGCCUCAUCUUCUUUUUCUACCAAAUUUAUUUUCAAGAUUGACAUGAAAGUGCAGGAAUUUUUAUUUGCUUCAAAUUUCUUGCUCUUCUCGCCUAAGCUACCUCAAACAGUGGUUGUUGUUGACUUAACACAUAUUAGAUGUUUUAUACCCUGAUUUGGUUUCAGAUAGUACCAGUGUAUGAUUGCAUUUUCAAAGUUUUCAAUCAACACCUUGCAAGUUAUGUGUGCCCUUCUAUAUGUUGCUUUGGAAAUUGAUAUAUCAGGCUGCUCUAACUUGCAUUGCCCAAGUCCAACCGCAAGCAAAACAAAGAAAUUCCAAUGAACAAAUGAUAUAUAAAGAGGCAACAUUCAGUAAUUUCAUCAGUCUCUCUUCUACACUCAAAUGGCUGGGAGACAACUCACAAGCCCAGAGGAAAGAAAGGAGGAAUGAUUCCAGCAGUGGCAUCCCGUCUGCCAGGCGGGCUCCCCAAGGAGAAGCUAAAGAAGAGCAGCCUGUUAGCUGGAGGUCCUAGGUCAGUGGCAGGCAGGCAGUGCAGGUUCUGGCUUCGGGUAAGAAGUGGUGGCUCAGGUGGUUUCCUGGGGCCCUUCACAAUCUGCUAUGCAGUUCGGGGGUUUCCUUCAGCUUAUGAAUGCUGUGCAGAUCGGGUAAUAGAGUUCAUGAUCUAGAGAGAAAUCCCCAGUAUGAAUGAGUGUGUCUGAGUGUGGGGCAUGGAUGGUUCUCAUACUCCUUUGCCCAUCCCCCCUGAAGUUUCAUGCUGUAAAACAUUGCUGUGGAAAUGUAAAGACAUAUUUUCUGGGUUCAGCUCCACCAUUCAUCCUUCUGUGAUUUAUUGUUGAUUCAGGACACAGGCAUAUGAGACCUGACAUUUGUUUUUCCAUAACACAGCAAAAAAUAAUCAUAAACCAAAAUACCUUAUUGUCAUUAUUUAAUACUCCAUAUGCACAAGCAUUGCAUUUUUUUUUUUUUAGUUACUUGGGAUGUCUUCAUGCCGAACAUGACUAACAAGUGGUGAGGAUAUGGAGAAUUUGAGACCCCCAUACAUUACUGGUGGGAAUGUACAAUGGUAAGGCCACUAUGAAAAACUGUUCGACAGUUCCUCAAAACAUUAACCAUAUAAUUGGCGUAUGACCCACCAGUUCCACUAUAAGGUAUGUACCCAAGAGAUUUGCAAGCAAACACUCAAAAAGAGAUGUGUACACCAAUGUUCAUUGUGGCACUAUUCACAGUUGCCAAAAGGUAGAAACAACCCACGUGUCCAUCAAAAGAUGAGCGGAUUAAUAAAAAGUGGUAUAUUCAUACAAUAGAAUAUUAGUCAGCCAUAAAGAGAAAUGAAAUUUUGGUACGUGAACCUUGAAAAUAUUAUACUGAGUGAAUUAAGUCAGACAAAAAGAAGAAAUAAGAUCUGAUCUCACUUACAUGAAAUAUUUAGAUUAGGCAAAUACAUGGAGACAAAGGAUUAUUAGUGGUCACCAGGAGCUAGGCGGGGAGAGAAUUCAGUUAUUAUUUAAAGUGUACUGAGCCUUUGGGGUGAUACAAAACUUUUCAAAGUGGACAGUGGUGAUGGUAGCACAACAUUAUAAACGUAAUUAAUGUCAUCAAGUUGCACACUUAAAAACAGUUAAAAUAGCAAGGCUUUUAUUAUGAAUAUUUUACCUCAAUAACACUUAAGAAAAACAAACACAGACUUCUUGUCUCUCAUCACUUUAACUCUCUAAGCUUUAAUUUAUUUAUCUGUAAAAUGGGUAAAUAAUACAUACAUGGAUGUUGUAACGGUUAUAUGUGAAAAAAUAUGUGUAAUACUUCUAGAGUUCUUGUUACACAAUGAUUUCCCCCCCUCAGCAUGAGUCAUCCACAGUUAGUAGAUGUCUCAGACACAGCUAGGGUGAAUGGCGCCGGAACGUGUGUCCACUCAACAUCAGAAGUGAACUUCCCUCAUUAGAAAGUUGUGUUAAGUGAAAAUAUGGAAAGAUCAUGGUUAGGAAUGCUUCCUACUAAAAGUGGGGCUGGCGUUCCAAGAUGGCUUUCUGCAAAGCUCCAGAAGUGCUGCUGAGAAGGGGAGGCUGAGGCUGGGAGCAGAGCUGCAAUCUCUUUUCUAGACUGAAAUGACUGGGAGGCAACUCACAAGCCCAGAGGGAAGAGAAGAUGAAUGUUUCCAGCAGUGGCAUCCUGUCUGCCAGGCGAGGAGAAGAAAGAGCACCCUGUUAGCUGGAGAUCGCAGGCAGAAGCAAGGGUGACCCCAAUAUAGUGGACUCAGCAAAUGGCUAUGAACUUCAUUUUGAUGACAUCAUGCUGGCAGAACCCUGAAUGUCAAGUGAGAAACCAUCUACCUCCUCCACCAGAAAAAAGACAUUUGAUCCUUCCCAAAUUUCCCUCAGAUAUUCUGUUUGUUAUCGAAUUGUGAUCUUUAAAUUUUCGGGGUGCCCUCAUGGUUAAAAAUGUGUUACCACCUCACACCUACUAGGAUGUCUAUUACUAGAAAAACAGAAACUAAGAAGUGUUGGAGAGCAUGUGGAAAAUUUACAACCCUCAUGCAUUACUGGUGGGAAUGUAAAAUGGUACAGCUUCUGUGGAAAACAGUUUGAUGCUUCCUCAAAAAGUUGAGCAAAGAAGUACUACAUGACACAGUAAUUCCAGUGCUAGGUUUAUACCCAAGAGACUUGAGAGCAGGGUACAAGCAGAUGUGUUUAUACCAAUGCUCAUGGCGUCACUAUUCACAAUAACCAAAAGGUAGAAACAACCUAAAUAUCUAUCAACAUACAUGGUUAAACAAAAUGUAGUAUACAUAUACAAUGGGAUGUUAUUCAGCCAGGAAGAGAAAUGAAGUUCUGAUACAUACUGCUACAUGGAUGAACCUUGAGAACAUUAUUGUGACUGAAAUACAUCAGGCAAAAAAGACAAAUAUUGUAUGAUUCCACGUAUAUGAAAUCUCUAGAUUAGGCAAAAAUGUAUUAGUGUAAGAUAGUACACAAUACUGGGGAAGCCAGCACAACCUGUACAAGGCAAGGUCAUGGUAGUGCCAUAGACACAUCCAAAAUUCCGAGGGACAGAAUUGCUGGGCUGAGGGCUGUGGGCAUCAUGAUCUCGGUGAAUAUCUUGCUCAACAGGCAUAACAUAGUUUAUAAAGAAUAUGUUCCACAUUCUACUUUGGUGAGUAGCAUCUGGGGUCUUAAAAGCCUGUGAGCUUUUAAAUAUCUAGCAUACUCCACUGGUCUCACCUUUUUGGGAACAAGAAAGAAUGAAGAAAAUUAAAGAUACAAGGGAAAGAUUAGUCCAAAGGACUAAUUGACCAACUAUACCAUGGCCUCCACCAGACUAAGUCCAGUACAAUGAGAUGGUGCCUGGCUACCACCACUGACUGCUCUGACAGGGAUCACAAUACAUAGCCCCAGACAGAGCUGGAGAAAAAUGUAGAACAAAACUCUAACACAAAAAGAAAGACCAGACUUGCUGGCCUGACAGAGACUGAAGAAGCCCUGAGAGUAUGGCCCCCGACACCCUUUCAGCUCAGUAAUGAGGUCACUCCUGAGGUACAAUCUUCAGCCAAAUAUUGAACAGGCCCAUGGAACAAAACAAGACUAAAGGGGCACACCAGCCCUAGAGCAGGGACUGGAAGGCAGGAGGGAACAGGAAGCUGGUAAUUGGGAACCCAGUGUUGAGAACGGGGAGUGUUGAUAUGUCGUGGUGUUGUUAACCAAUGUCGUAGAACAAUGUGUGUACUAACUCUUUGAUGAGAAACUAGUUUGUUCGGUAAACCUUCAUCUAAAGUACAAUUAAAAAAAAUGUGUUAGUGGUUACCAGGGUAUUGGGGUAGGGCAGAAAGGCAGUUAUUGCUUAAAGGGUACUUAGUUUCUGUUUGAGGUGAAGUAAAACUUUAGAAAUGGAUAGCGAUGAUGUGGCACAACAUGGUGAAUGUAAUUCAUGUCACUGAUGUAUAAAAAAAAGUAUAUACUUUAUUUAAAAAUGGUUGAAAUUGCAAACUUUCCAUUAUAUAUAUUCUAC
Long non-coding RNA from Loxodonta africana (African savanna elephant), 4189 nucleotides. RefSeq lists it as uncharacterized. The transcript has 3 exons. Lineage: Eukaryota; Metazoa; Chordata; Mammalia; Proboscidea; Elephantidae. The record is from RefSeq and is a predicted model, not a curated record.